UGGAAAUAGUUUUCUGCAUCUGUAAGUUAAGCUCAGAGUCCUAUAACAAAGUAUGGCAUCUUGAGCUUCAUAGCUCUGAUCUCUCUUAUGCUUGCAUUUUCCCGUUUGAAUAUGGCAGUUUUUGUGCCAUGCAGCGCCUCUCGUGUUACAUGAAGUGCAAUAAAACUGUAUAUAUACACAACCCGCACAUAAACUGCAACUUAUGACGACAUUUCAGUGCCACUUAACCAUUAACUAGUCGCACUAGUGCCCUGUGUUACUCGUUAAUGGUCCAGAUUCAACCGAAAUGUCGUCACGAGUUUGGUUCUCCUAUGUGCAGGUUAUUUGUGUAUUGUGUAGUGUAGGGCUAACUAUUGUGUUUGUCAUCAUUAUCUGCAGGAAGCAAGAAACAGUGGUACUUGUCUUAGACAUACUCGAUAUUAUUAUUAUUACAGUCGUAACUCAGCACUAAAGUUCCAAGGGUCAUACAGCGCUGCAAGGCAGGAUGUGCCGAAGAUUAUAUACAGACACUCCUCGACCUACGAUGGUUUGACUUAAACAAUAUUUCAACUUUACGAUGGUGCGGCAGAAAUUACUUUGGAGAUGAAACAUGAGAUAAUUACCCAACAUGAAGGGAACUCUACACCAAACCACGAACCCUGAAACAGGUUUGCCGAGUCAUAAUAUACGACGCCCUGGGUCGAAGAACUGCGCAGAACGUCAACAAGUUACCACUUCCGGGAAUGUUAAAAGACUAUAUUUUAAAUUUCGAUCCUUAGAGCCCUUUUCUUGUGCUCGACAGUAAGGCAAAUGUUUUCCCUACUAUUCUAACAGUGAAAACCAGAAAAGAGUUGUCCCUUCUUGUGUGGAAGGUUGAAAAGCUAAAAUCGCAGGCUGCUCGUCCCGGCCAGCAGUGUGUGUCGUUAUGGUUCAUUAGUGUCUUUAAACUUCAUAGUUGGUUACGAUAGCUAAAGCGUGUUACAAAGACUUGUUAGGCCGAGCAACACUGAAGCUGAAAUACGCCGUACAUACGUGCAUUAGAAUAAUAAAGCAGGUUGGUGCAUUCUAAGCAUAUGUGCGAUGUGAAAUGGCAUUCUGAAAAUAUUGAACUUGCUUGUCAGCUAUGUAAGGGCAACUAUAGUUGUAAGUGGAGGAACAUUUUUUAAUGGCGAAGAUGAGCAAAUUGUCCAGAUAAAUAAUGCAGAGCUUGAUAAAUAUUGAGCUUUCCUUCCUAGCUAGGCUGUGUACAUAU
Molecule: non-coding RNA, 1231 nt
Organism: Cherax quadricarinatus
Lineage: Eukaryota; Metazoa; Arthropoda; Malacostraca; Decapoda; Parastacidae
Source: RefSeq, a predicted model, not a curated record